This is a non-coding RNA of Cinara cedri, 203 nucleotides long. The record is from the annotation of a GenBank genome assembly. Lineage: Eukaryota; Metazoa; Arthropoda; Insecta; Hemiptera; Aphididae.
AACCCGGCGUAAUAAUAUCGUCGCCCGCGGCCGUUCAAUAAUACGUAUUUUGUUUUUUAUUCUGUAUGUACCGUACGGCACUUCGGCCGAUUAUUAAUAGUGUCAAUUAAACUAAGACAUAAGUGAUGAACACUUACAUUUUUAGAUUUUAAAAAAGUACUAUUUUAUAAUAUACGAUGAAUUAUAACCAAUUCAAUUUAAAU